RNAcentral lists this ribosomal RNA (755 nucleotides) under uncultured bacterium. RNAcentral describes it as "bacterial SSU rRNA". It matches the Rfam family "Bacterial small subunit ribosomal RNA", at positions 10 to 750 of the family's 1533-position model. The record is from RNAcentral.
AGUUUGAUCCUGGCUCAGGACGAACGCUGGCGGCGCGCUUAACACAUGCAAGUCGAACGCUCUCACUCCUUCGGGAGUGGGGGAGUGGCGAACGGGUGCGUAACACGUGAGCAACCUGCCCCUGACGCGGGGGAUAACCGGGGGAAACUCCGGCUAAUACCGCAUGAGACCACGACCUCCUCGGGGGACGUGCUUAAAGGUCCUUCACGGGACUGCGCAGGGAGGGGCUCGCGGCGUAUCAGGUAGUUGGUGAGGUAACGGCUCACCAAGCCGAUGACGCGUAGGGGGUCUGAGAGGAUGGCCCCCCACAUUGGGACUGAGAUACGGCCCAGACUCCUACGGGAGGCAGCAGUGGGGAAUCUUGCGCAAUGGCCGAAAGGCUGACGCAGCGACGCCGCGUGCGGGAGGAAGGUCUUCGGAUCGUAAACCGCUGUCAGUGGGGAGGAACGGCCCGGGGAGGCAAUGCCCCGGGUUUGACAGUACCCGCAGAGGAAGCACCGGCUAACUCCGUGCCAGCAGCCGCGGUAAUACGGAGGGUGCAAGCGUUGUUCGGAAUUAUUGGGCGUAAAGCGCACGUAGGCGGCUCUUUAAGUCUCACUGUGAAAGCCUGCGGCUCAACCGCAGGAGGCCAGGGGAUACAGGAGGGCUGGAGAUAGGUAGAGGCGAGCGGAAUUCCGGGUGUAGCGGUGGAAUGCGUAGAGAUCCGGAAGACACCAGAGGCGAAGGCGGCUCGCUGGACCUCACCUGACGCUGAG